Molecule: ribosomal RNA, 83 nt
Filed under: Lepisosteus oculatus (spotted gar)
Lineage: Eukaryota; Metazoa; Chordata; Actinopteri; Semionotiformes; Lepisosteidae
Source: RNAcentral
ACCAGCAGCCAUAUUACCCUGUUUGAGCCUUGUCAGUACCUUGAUGGGAGACCUCCUGGGAAAAACUAAGGUUGCUGCUGGAA